GGAGCGAUACCCAAGCUGGUUUAAGGGGACUCAUUGCUAAUGAGUUAGGUUGGUAUUUCCGACGCAUGGGUUCGAAUCCCAUUUGCUCCG
Styela clava is the source of this 90-nucleotide non-coding RNA. NCBI's taxonomy places the organism in Eukaryota, Metazoa, Chordata, Ascidiacea, Stolidobranchia, Styelidae. The record is from the annotation of a RefSeq genome assembly.